AUUACCGCGGCUGCUGGCACGUAGUUAGCCGUGGCUUAUUCUUCAGGUACCGUCAUUUAUUCGUCCCUGACUAAAGAAGUUUACAAUCCGAAGACCUUCAUCCUUCACGCGGCGUUGCUGCAUCAGGGUUUCCCCCAUUGUGCAAUAUUCCCCACUGCUGCCUCCCGUAGG
Molecule: ribosomal RNA, 171 nt
Filed under: uncultured bacterium
Lineage: Bacteria
Description: partial 16S ribosomal RNA
Source: RNAcentral